Rhodamnia argentea is the source of this 1727-nucleotide RNA transcript. It is a transcript of the gene named PHAF1 protein At3g51130, with no coding region annotated. The transcript has 15 exons. NCBI's taxonomy places the organism in Eukaryota, Viridiplantae, Streptophyta, Magnoliopsida, Myrtales, Myrtaceae. The record is from RefSeq and is a predicted model, not a curated record.
GACCCGACCCGACCGGGUUAGUUGACGCACGCACACCCCCCAAAUUGAUUCCGUGCACCGAAAGCGAUGGCCAGAAAUUCCACCGGCCGCACGCAUUCAUUCGAUUCGUCGACUCCCGCAACGCCUCUCGAAUUCGCUUUCCUUCCUUCCUUCCGCUCGCUGCAGAAUCGACGCGAUUGAGGAGCCGAUCCGACCCGAUCGAUGUUGCAGAGACCGAGACGUCGCUGCGAGGGCACUGCCAUGGGCGCCAUCACCCUCGACCUCCGCCCCGGCCUCGGAAUCGGACCUUUCUCCCUCGGGAUGCCGAUAUGCGAAGCGUUUGCGCAGAUUGAGCAGCAACCGAACAUCUACGAUGUCGUCCAUGUCAAGUAUUAUGACGAGGAUCCACUAAAGCUGGAUAUCGUCAUCAGUUUUCCCGAUCAUGGUUUUCAUCUUCGUUUCGAUCCUUGGUCGCAGAGGUUACGCCUGAUUGAGAUUUUUGAUGUCAAGAGGCUUCAGAUGCGCUACUCCAAUUCCCUCAUUGGAGGACCAUCGACUCUUGCCACAUUUGUAGCUGUCUACGCACUUUUUGGACCAACUUUUCCUGGAAUCUACGACAAAGAUAGAGGUGUCUACACUCUUUUCUACCCGGGGUUAUCUUUUGCUUUUCCUAUUCCCGGCCAAUAUACAGAUUGCUGCCAUGACAGAGAAGCGGAACUGCCCCUAGAGUUUCCUGAUGGCACCACUCCAGUAACAUGCCGCGUGUCUAUAUAUGAUAGCUCCACAGACAAGAAAGUUGGUGUAGGAUCUUUAAUGGAUAAAGCUUCUGUCCCUCCCUUACCUCCCGGUAGUCUCUACAUGGAGGAAGUUCAUGUUAAGCUUGGAGAGGAAUUGCAUUUCACCGUUGGUGGACAAAGUAUUCCUUUUGGUGCAUCACCUCAGGAUGUGUGGACUGAAUUAGGUCGUCCGUGUGGAAUUUAUCAAAAACAGGUUGAUCAAAUGGUAAUACACUCUGCCUCCGACCCACGUCCAAGGACAACUCUCUGCGGGGAUUAUUUCUACAAUUAUUUCACUCGAGGCUUAGAUAUCUUAUUUGAUGGCCAGACUCACAAAAUCAAAAAGUUUGUAUUGCAUACAAACUAUCCUGGGCAUGCGGAUUUCAAUUCAUAUAUAAAAUGCAACUUCAUUGUCUAUGGUUCCGACCUUGGUGGUUCCUUCCAGGAAGUGAAUGGUUCUAAAAACAGGAUUACUCCAGGCACAAAAUGGGAGCAAGUGAAGGAGAUCCUUGGAGACUGUGGUCGAGCUGCUAUACAAACUCAAGGUUCUACUAGCAAUCCAUUUGGAUCUACUUUCGUGUAUGGUUAUCAGAAUGUUGCUUUCGAGGUGAUGAAGAAUGGCUAUAUAGCAACUGUGACUCUCUUCCAGUCAUGAUUACUGUUGUAAGUCCUGCUCUUCCUUUUAAAUGUCUUUGCUUAUUAACAAUCUCACAAUAUUUUGUGGUUCCAGUUAUGCAGGCACUCCGCUCAAACUGGCGUAAAUUUGUACAGUUGACUUCGGUUGAUUGCCGAUUUGGCCAAUAAUUGGCAGGACAGCUGGACGCUUGGGGGGAAAAAUUGUACAGCUCUGUAUCAAUGUACAUAGUUUAUUCAUUCUAUUAGCUCUCUGCUUUUGCAUGUAAUGUAAUCAUAAUCUAUCAUCAUUGACAUCUUUGACAUUUUCGCAAAUCCUGAUUUCCAUUCCGUUUCUCA